This is an RNA transcript of Triticum aestivum (bread wheat), 4577 nucleotides long. RefSeq lists it as uncharacterized. The record is from RefSeq and is a predicted model, not a curated record. NCBI's taxonomy places the organism in Eukaryota, Viridiplantae, Streptophyta, Magnoliopsida, Poales, Poaceae. The transcript is spliced from 7 exons.
UACUGCGCCCAACCCACCCACCUACCAGCCAGCAGAGGUCAGUCAGUACAAGAAUAGUAAGGAGUGAGAGUGACGGGUGGUGUCACGUCGGCGUUUUUAUCUCUGUCCCCUUUUUUGUUUUCUUUUUGUGACGUGUACGUGUAUAAACGAAGCAAGUAAAAUAUCUCCCGUCACGUAAAACUGACGAGAGGACAGGUGUCGACAUGCAGCUGGAUUGACCGGGCUGCGGUGCAUCUAACCCUAAAUUUAACCCAGACGCGAGGAGACUUUCUCUCCUUUCUUUCCCCCGACCCCGUGAUGAGGAACAGAUCAGAUCUGGAGGCUCCUCUCGUCUCGCCCCCCCCCCCUCACCCUCGUCUCUGAGGGCUCCACGCCGGCCGGCCGGGCGGCCCGACCUUCGUCUGCCGCCGGCGCCGGCCAUGGUAAUCUAUCGACGUACGUCCUUGUCCGGCUCCCUCUGCUCUCCAUGUACGCGCCGGCCCUUUCUUCCCCAAGCGUUCGUCCUUGCAACUGACUUCCCCGGCCUGCAUGCCUCGCCUCGCCUCGCCUCGCCUCGCCUCAAACUCUUGUCGGUUUGGAUCGAUCGUUUCAAGGCAGGAGGCUUAAUCCAUCAAUUAUCCCCACCAUGAACCGUGAACCGGCCGGCCGUUUCAUGUCGCACCGCCGCCGCGCUCUCAUCCACCUGCCGGCGAACGCCAACAGAUGCAGCCCUGCUGGUCAGAUCCGCUGGCCGCCAACAGGCGGUAUUUCUUGCCGGCCCGCGAGAGGCUCCUGUCCUUCCUCCGGUCAGGUUCGGUGCACAGCUAGCUAGCAGGCAGCGAUCUCAUCUCUGCUCCCUACGUUACUACUACUCUGGAUCUGGCACCUGCUCUAUCUAUUGCAUGUGAAGAGGCAGCGAAUAAAUCGCAUGAGUGUGGACGCGACUGCGUGACCAUGGAUGGGACAUCACCUCCCUCGCGGUACCAGUAGGUACAUGUGGUGGGGCAGGCGGUUAAUCUAUCCUCUCAUCUCCCAUGGACCGUGAACCGGCCAGCCGUUCCCUCUUGUACGUGGUUAAUCGGUCAACAACACCAACCAAGGUGCAACACUUGUCCGUAGCCAUACAUGGUCAAGAUAAGCAGCGUCGAUCCCUCGUCGAAACGUGCUCUUUCUGCAACGAGUGCACUCUUAGCAUGAGUUGUAUGUCUUGCGGGGACUCCACCUGCCCCAAAUGUUGUCUCCCAUGUCUGGAUUAUGGUUCUGAAACAACAAGUUGUUUGUGGAGACAUCCAUCAAUGGUGCUAAGUUCUCAUCUAUAGCUGCUUGCAACAAGACCUUCAAUCAAUCCCUAGAAUCCCUCUGAUCCAUACUAGUUGUCGGUCAAACAGAUGUAUCUCGACGUAUUUCAGUGCUAGAUACAUCCGUUUGAGUGACAAUUAAUAUGGAUCGAAGGGAGUAUAAAAAGGUAGUUACUCGUCUAUCCCAACGUAAAUGAACAAAGUCACUUGUCUUCCUGCUACAAUUGCUCCUUGCAUUGUUUUUUCAGGAUCUAAAGAAGUUUUCUUACUAGACUUGGGGUUAGCCUUACGAAACAUCUCGUUCUUACCUUUUGGGUGGUCACACGAAAGCUCUAUAUCUUUUUUUGUUGAUGUUUCUCUCAUCUAGAUUUAUUCUGAUUUUCCAAUCAACUUCUUCUGGCUUAAUUUGUUUUUAACAACCGGCUUGAUUCUUUUGUAGAAAACAAAAAACAAUUAGAAAAUAUAGUUGUAAAGACUUCAAUUCUCAAGAACUUAAAUGCGAAGAUAAGGUGAAGGGCCUUUGCUUCUUCUUUUGAUUGCACAGGAGCUUAUAAUCGACUUAAAAAACAGGUUUGGUGCUGAUGUGUCCAAAUCCCAUGUUUUGAUGUAAGCUAGACAUCAUUUUCAAACAGUCAUUCAUGGUAGUAGUGAGUAAAGUGACAUUUUAAUGUUGAAACUGUCCCCUGUUAAUUUGUAAAGUUGGUCUCUCCAUCUAUAUCCAAAUAACUUAGCUAGGAGGUAGGAUCAAACGAUUAACCUUUUCAUCAAAUUAGAAUUAGAAGAACUAAAUGGUCAAUACCAUGGCUGAAAUUCUUAAUCAUGAGCUUAAUGUUAUGGAUAUUUUAAAUGUGGCUCAAUCCCAAAAAUAAUCUAAGAGUUUAAUGCUGACCACAAGCAUCAUUUAGAAAGUUCUUUAUAUUUAUAUUUUUUUUGCUACAACUUUUAUAUUUGUACAUGCCAUGUACCAUCAAUUUUUCCUCUAAUUAUACUAUUUUCUAAUGUUGUAUGUAUUAUAGUAUUUUUGUAGUGCUACUAUUCAUCACCCAGGGUGUAGAAUAAGUUAUUCUUCACCCGAGGUAAUCUUACUAUCGCUUCCUAAAUAAAUUACGUUUGAAAUUCAAAAAGUUACAUUCUUAUUGAUUCACUACGUCAAAUUUGGCAUAAGAAAAUAAAAAUGUAGGUCAUAAGACAAUUUUUUUUGUAGUUUAUGUAUAUUUUACUCUAUGUUUUUACGUUUGUAAAUUUACAUAACAUAAAAUAUUUUUUAGUGCUACUAUUCAUCACCCAGGGUGCAGAAUAAGUUAUUCUUCACCCGAGGUAAUCUUACUAUCGUUUCCUAAAUAAAUUACGUUUGAAAUUCAAAAAGUUACAUUCUUAUUGAUUCACUACGUCAAAUUUGGCAUAAGAAAAUAAAAAUGUAGGUCAUAAGACAAUUUUUUUUGUAGUUUAUGUAUAUUUUACUCUAUGUUUUUACGUUUGUAAAUUUACAUAACAUAAAAUAUUUUUUAUGGUGACUAUAUGUUUUCUUACAGUCUCUUUUUACAUCAGAAAUAAGAAAAAAAUUACGGAACAUAAAAUUACGUUGCAUUGAUGGUAAAAUAGAGGGGGGUGAAGAAUAACUAUUCCUCACCCAGGGUGACGAAUAGUCAAUCCCUAUAUAUAUAUUCAUACCCAAAGUUAAUGUUUGUAGCUACACCACAAACCAUUCACUUUUCAGUAGGUUUCAUCUCUGACUUAUUGUCAUGUCCAGUUGUUGAAGAAUACUCCCUCCCUUCCAAAAUUUAGUGCAUAUAAGAUUUUUCCGAGUUCAAACACAUCUAUGUUUGACCAAGUUUAUACGAAAAACUGUGGACAUUUAUAAUACAAAAUAAAUUGAACAUAAAAGUACAUUUCAUAAUUGCGUCCCCCCUUCCCCCUCUUUGUCACAUGAUGAAGUACUAUACCACUUUUUUCAUGUUGUUGUAUUUAUCUUUUGUUGCACCCUAUAUAUCACUUUGACUAGGAAUACUAUUGUAUUUAUUCAUGUUUUAAAACUAAUUGUUUGAAUUCUAUAAUUUUGUUUCUUUUAUACAUAAUUAAUCAUCAAAAUUACAUAUCAAAGAUUGUACUGAACUUGGUUGUCUUUUAUUCCGACUUUAGGUACAGGUCUCUUGGAGCUUCAUUGGCUUCGACUUUGUCUAUUGUCCGUUACGCCAAUGUGAUUGGAACAUCUUCCUGGUGAUUGGUUACGAGUAAUGUUGGGUAUUACAUAUUUUGGUUCUCGAUGUUGACACGGAAGAGUGUUUUUAGCACGAUAGAUGAAAAAUACUUUGGAAUACCCGGCAAGAAACAUGCCACACAUGAUGGAGAAUUACCAGUAAAACCCUUGGAUCAUCAGGGCAAUGAGGCUGAAAGCACAAACCCAAAGUGUCCAGCCAAAUGGGUCACGGCCCGUGCACCCUUCCCUUACAAAAGCUUGCCCUAAUCCGCUGGUAUAUAAGUAUUCUUUCGGUGUGCGUGCAGCAUCCACCCGCAGUCUCCCUUUCAAUCCAAAUCCGCCGCCGCCGCUCUCCGCUGACCAUGGAGCGCCAGCCAAACCGGCGCCGCGGCCGCGCCCCCCAGCAGGUCCACGGCGACGGCCCCCUUCCCCAGGGCGGAGGCCCCCUUCCCCAGCAGGUCCAGGGCGUUGUCCCCGUCGCACAGCAGGUGCCGCCAAACACAGUCCCAGGGGAGUUGCAAUUCAAGGCCUAUGAGUUCAUGAAGUUUGAGCCGAAAUACCUGAAGCUGCCAAGGCGUGCGCCAGCAGUGGAGAGUACCAGGUUUCUUUUUCAUAGAGACACGGACAGGACUGGAAGCACUGUUGGUGAUCUUAUAAAAAGGAAGGCGUACAAUAGGGCUGAGAAGCUGGGAGACAAGAGGAGGCAGUACCUGCAGGUCCUUCCAGAGACCAAGGACAAUGAAGAAUUACUGAAGAAACUUGACAACGAACUGGCAGGGCUGCUGCAUAGCCUGGACAGCGCUAUUGCAGAGCUCGAUGCCGUCGUCCCCGGCAAUUUUGCGCGCCCCAACCACUUCAGCAAGCCUCCAGCCCUGAACAAGUAGGCUGUUGGGUUUUGCAAAACUUUAGGACAGCUUAUGGAUAAUAUUUUGUAAUGCAACGUAAUCGGUUCCAAUGAUGCUUGUUCUGAGAGUAGCUCUAGUCCAUUUGAAAACUAGCCAGGAUAUGUGAUGCAGAUGUUAUUUCUCUCAGGAUAUGUGAUCUAUUCCUCUCAGAUGAUCAAUUUGUUUUAUCCAAUGAAAGACAGAACAAUGCUACACUCA